This 460-nucleotide ribosomal RNA is filed under the name uncultured bacterium. RNAcentral's name for it is "partial 16S ribosomal RNA". It matches the Rfam family "Bacterial small subunit ribosomal RNA", at positions 338 to 795 of the family's 1533-position model. The record is from RNAcentral.
CCUACGGGUGGCAGCAGUGAGGAAUAUUGGUCAAUGGACGCAAGUCUGAACCAGCCAUGCCGCGUGCAGGAAGACGGCUCUAUGAGUUGUAAACUGCUUUUGUACGAGGGUAAACGCAGAUACGCGUAUCUGUCUGAAAGUAUCGUACGAAUAAGGACCGGCUAAUUCCGUGCCAGCAGCCGCGGUAAUACGGAAGGUCCGGGCGUUAUCCGGAUUUAUUGGGUGUAAAGGGAGCGUAGGCCGGUCUUUAAGCGUGCCGUGAAAUUUUGUGGCUCAACCAUGGGAGUGCGGCGCGAACUGGAGACCUGGAGUGCGCGGAAGGCAGGCGGAAUUCGUGGUGUAGCGGUGAAAUGCUUAGAUAUCACGAAGAACCCCGAUUGCGAAGGCAGCCUGCCGCAGCGUUACUGACGCUGAAGCUCGAAAGCGCGGGUAUCGAACAGGAUUAGAUACCCUAGUAGUC